This 461-nucleotide ribosomal RNA is filed under the name uncultured bacterium. Its description in RNAcentral is "bacterial SSU rRNA". It matches the Rfam family "Bacterial small subunit ribosomal RNA", at positions 40 to 518 of the family's 1533-position model. The record is from RNAcentral.
CGGCGUGACUUAACACAUGCAAGUACGAACGGAUAGAAUAAGCUUGCUUAUUUCGUUAGUGGCGCACGGGUGAGUAAUGUAUAGCUAACCUGCCCUUUAGUGGGGGACAACAGUUGGAAACGACUGCUAAUACCCCAUACUCCAGCCUAUCAAAAGGUAGGUUGGGAAAGAUUUAUUGCUAAAGGAUGGGGCUUUAUGGUAUCAGCUAGUUGGUGGGGUAACGGCCUACCAAGGCAAUGACGCCUACCUGGUCUGAGAGGAUGAUCAGGCACACUGGAACUGAGACACGGUCCAGACUCCUACGGGAGGCAGCAGUGGGGAAUAUUGCACAAUGGGGGAAACCCUGAUGCAGCAACGCCGCGUGGAGGAUGACGCAUUUCGGUGUGUAAACUCCUUUUAUAAGGGAAGAUAAUGACGGUACCUUAUGAAUAAGCACCGGCUAACUCCGUGCCAGCCGCUGC